GCCUCAGAUGCUGAAGAUGAUAUCAAUAAGUUAAAAAAGGACAAGCUUGGCAUUCAGAAGUAUUGUGUAGAAGAGACAGAGGCACACUUGCUUCAGAGCCGGGGAUUAGGAAAUCUGCUUCUCCUGGGCUGCAUCCUCCAGCCACUGUUACUAGACCUGCAGCAGUUUGCAUGGAGCACCUGCAGAGAUGACCCAGUGACUCUGAGACAAGGAACCUGGUUUAUGGACGAUGUCCCAGCUCCUAACUGGAAAGCACAGUUGAAAUCACCACUGCCCCUUCCAGCUGCUGCCGUGUUGUCAGCGAGUUUGGCAGAAAUGCUUGUGCAACAUUUACUCUUAGUACAUGUCACAGAGACCUAGGCAUAAAGGCCUAAAAUAGGCAGGCCUUGAGAGCAGUAACUUCAUUGUCCUGCCUGGAUAGUUGAGCCUACCUGGAA
RNAcentral lists this long non-coding RNA (437 nucleotides) under Cyanistes caeruleus (blue tit). RNAcentral's name for it is "lncRNA (ENSCCEG00000023785.1)". Lineage: Eukaryota; Metazoa; Chordata; Aves; Passeriformes; Paridae. The record is from RNAcentral.